AAUCUGCCGUCUUGGUUCGGAAUAACUCAGGGAAACUUGAGCUAAUACCGGAUGAUGACGAAAGUCCAAAGAUUUAUCGCCAAGAGAUGAGCCCGCGUAAGAUUAGGUAGUUGGUGGGGUAAAGGCUCACCAAGCCGACGAUCUGUAGCUGGUCUGAGAGGACGACCAGCCACACUGGGACUGAGACACGGCCCAGACUCCUACGGGAGGCAGCAGUGGGGAAUUUUGGACAAUGGGCGAAAGCCUGAUCCAGCCAUUCCGCGUGCAGGAUGAAGGCCCUCGGGUUGUAAAGCUCUUUUGUCAGGGAAGAAACACCGGCUCUAACACAGUCCGGGAAUGACGGUACCUGAAGAAUAAGCACCGGCUAACUACGUG
This 375-nucleotide ribosomal RNA is filed under the name uncultured bacterium. RNAcentral describes it as "bacterial SSU rRNA". It matches the Rfam family "Bacterial small subunit ribosomal RNA", at positions 123 to 507 of the family's 1533-position model. The record is from RNAcentral.